This is a non-coding RNA of Epinephelus lanceolatus (giant grouper), 367 nucleotides long. The record is from RefSeq and is a predicted model, not a curated record. NCBI's taxonomy places the organism in Eukaryota, Metazoa, Chordata, Actinopteri, Perciformes, Serranidae.
GAACUGCAGCGUGAUUAGGACAGUCAAAGUGCCUCACCAACAAUCAGGGGCUCCUAAAGGAACAGCCAGGGUACAGAGAGAAGAAGAAAGAGAAGAGAAGCAGCAGAAUCAAUGCACACGAUGACCUGACAGCCAGAGUUCAAAUUCAGGAAACCACAGUGGUGGACUUCCCCUGCACACGGAGCUGUGAUUCAAAUCAAUGGUAUUGACCCAGAGAAGCAAAUCAAUAUUCUCAAGGGCACCGAUAAGGACCUCACCGCGUGAUGCAACUACAGCUGUUUGAAUGGAGGAUGGAAAUGUGAUGGAAGAUUUCCUCAGUGGCUGCCAGGAGUGUAAUUAAAUGGUUCAUGGUGGUGUAAAGACUGAA